This is a non-coding RNA of Taeniopygia guttata (zebra finch), 46 nucleotides long. The record is from Rfam. NCBI's taxonomy places the organism in Eukaryota, Metazoa, Chordata, Aves, Passeriformes, Estrildidae.
AAAAUGGCUCUUUUCAGAGCCAUUUAUUUUUAUGAAGCAAGGAUAU